UACGAGGGGGGCAAGCGUUGUUCGGAAUUAUUGGGUUUAAAGGGUGCGUAGGCGGCCCUGUAAGUCAGUGCUGAAAUAUCCCAGCUUAACUGGGAGGGUGGCAUUGAUACUGCGGGGCUAGAGUACAGAUGAGGUAGGCGGAAUUGACGGUGUAGCGGUGAAAUGCUUAGAUAUCGUCAAGAACACCUAUAGCGAAGGCAGCUUACUAGGCUGUAACUGACGCUGAGGCACGAAAGUGUGGGGAUCAAACAGG
RNAcentral lists this ribosomal RNA (253 nucleotides) under uncultured bacterium. RNAcentral's name for it is "partial 16S ribosomal RNA". It matches the Rfam family "Bacterial small subunit ribosomal RNA", at positions 524 to 776 of the family's 1533-position model. The record is from RNAcentral.